UACGUAGGUGGCAAGCGUUGUCCGGAUUUACUGGGCGUAAAGGAUGCGUAGGUGGAUACUUAAGUCAGAUGUGAAAUCCCCGAGCUUAACUUGGGGGCUGCAUUUGAAACUGGGUAUCUGGAGUGCAGGAGAGGAAAGCGGAAUUCCUAGUGUAGCGGUGAAAUGCGUAGAGAUUAGGAAGAACACCAGUGGCGAAGGCGGCUUUCUGGACUGUAACUGACACUGAGGCAUGAAAGCGUGGGGAGCAAACAGG
Molecule: ribosomal RNA, 253 nt
Filed under: uncultured bacterium
Lineage: Bacteria
Description: partial 16S ribosomal RNA
Rfam family: Bacterial small subunit ribosomal RNA
Source: RNAcentral